GUCCUCCGCAUGGGUGAAAUUAUUUAGUCUUUGCUACCAGCCUGUAGGUGACUCAGAUCUGAAGCAGAACAAUCCUUCAUCCAGGGAGACCAAAGAGGAAAGCACUGUGGUUGAAACCUGCUAUUGCUACAUACUAGCACUGGUGAUCUUCAGCAACUAACUGGUGAGCUUCACCAAUUGACUCGCUGAAGCUCAGUUUCUACAGAAGCAAAGAUCUUGCUCUGCCUACUUCCCAGUUUUGUCUAGAUGAGC
RNAcentral lists this long non-coding RNA (252 nucleotides) under Homo sapiens (human). RNAcentral's name for it is "non-protein coding lnc-FAM135B-2:2". The record is from RNAcentral. Lineage: Eukaryota; Metazoa; Chordata; Mammalia; Primates; Hominidae.